UACGUAGGGCGCGAGCGUUGUCCGGAAUUAUUGGGCGUAAAGGGCUCGUAGGCGGUCUGUUGCGUCAGGAGUGAAAACUCGGGGCUUAACCCCGAGCCUGCUUCUGAUACGGGCAGACUAGAGGUAUGCAGGGGAGAACGGAAUUCCUGGUGUAGCGGUGAAAUGCGCAGAUAUCAGGAGGAACACCGGUGGCGAAGGCGGUUCUCUGGGCAUUAACUGACGCUGAGGAGCGAAAGUGUGGGGAGCGAACAGG
RNAcentral lists this ribosomal RNA (253 nucleotides) under uncultured bacterium. RNAcentral describes it as "partial 16S ribosomal RNA". It matches the Rfam family "Bacterial small subunit ribosomal RNA", at positions 524 to 776 of the family's 1533-position model. The record is from RNAcentral.